RNAcentral lists this ribosomal RNA (253 nucleotides) under uncultured bacterium. Its description in RNAcentral is "partial 16S ribosomal RNA". It matches the Rfam family "Bacterial small subunit ribosomal RNA", at positions 524 to 776 of the family's 1533-position model. The record is from RNAcentral.
UACGUAGGGUGCAAGCGUUGUCCGGAAUUAUUGGGCGUAAAGAGCUCGUAGGCGGUUUGUCGCGUCUGCUGUGAAAACUCGGGGCUUAACCCCGGGCCUGCAGUGGGUACGGGCAGACUAGAGUGCAGUAGGGGCAGAGGGAAUUCCCAGUGUAGCGGUGAAAUGCGUAGAGAUUGGGAAGAACAUCCGUGGCGAAAGCGCUCUGCUGGACUGCAACUGACAUUGAGGGACGAAAGCUAGGGGAGCGAAUGGG